UGACGCACCAGGGAUUACGCAAUACAUCGUGAAGGCACGUUGUGUUUCAAUGGCGUCUCAGAUGGUUGGAAAUGUGUAUUUGCAGUUGGACUGACCUUUUACUGUUUAGGAUUCCCCCAAUCACGCAAUACCAUCAGCGCUAGGAGGGUGAAGGAUGUUGAUAUGGCUGCAACUGAACGGGGGAUCGGGAGACUGUUCUGGGGAUCUGUGUGACUAGAGUUGAGGGAGCUGAAGCCAUGGACCCCCCCUGCCAAUACUGGAGUGGUAUUAGAAGGUGGUGUGGUUCUAGAAGACCUGGGCAGUGUGUUCCUUGCCUUUGCAGUUCGGGCUGAUUUAUGCCUUAUAUAUUUAUAACCUUAUGAUUUAUAACUUGUUACCCUCCUACAUUCAGAUACACUUUUGAUGUACUCCAAAAACUGUUUGUUUCUGGAACUAGAUGCUAACAAACUGUCAUGAAGCUCAAUUACUAAAUACCAAGCUGUUCAGUGAGAUGUGGUCCAUACUGAGUAUUACACUUGUGAUGUACUGUUUAUCGAAUCCCACUGUGGUUGCACUUUCUGAAAACUUCAAUGUUGGUACUGUGUUUUGUACAUAAUUCAGAUUUAUACGUGUUUCAUGUUUUGUAGACAUUUCACUUAACUGUAUGGUGCUUUGUUAAACAUUUUCCAUUUAAAUGAAUUCUGAUUGCACUUAUUGUAUUGUAUUGUAUGCUGUAUUGUGUUAAAGACGUCUGAUUCUUACACUGAUCAGC
Molecule: long non-coding RNA, 751 nt
Organism: Trichomycterus rosablanca
Lineage: Eukaryota; Metazoa; Chordata; Actinopteri; Siluriformes; Trichomycteridae
Exons: 4
Source: RefSeq, a predicted model, not a curated record